Long non-coding RNA from Macaca mulatta (Rhesus monkey), 1552 nucleotides. NCBI's taxonomy places the organism in Eukaryota, Metazoa, Chordata, Mammalia, Primates, Cercopithecidae. The record is from Ensembl.
AGUUUCAUCAGCACUCCAGAUGAGGCAAGACAGAAGCCAGUUCCUCCCUUGGGCAGAGUACCAAAAGCCUGGAGACAUUAGAUGCAUACGUCCUUCUCUUUUUCCAUCAGGAAGAAGUUACAAGACAAGAUGAUUUCACUGGGAGCUGAGUUUUGCCAGAUUUGGGGAAAUACUGUUGCAGGGUCUAUUUCUUCCUCUUAAAGUGUACCUUCCCUGGAGCUUCAACUUAAUGCCUGAAGUCCUCAGUGAGGUCCCUCCACUCUUCCUGUCUAAGCUGAAACUUCAACAUCUUCAGGAGUGUGUGACACCUGCCCUGGAGACACCAUGGUGAAAAAGACAGUCUUUCAACUUGGUGAAUUUACAAACUAGAGGGAGGAAGACAAUCAUUGGUCUUGUUCUGUUGCCCCAGCUGGAGUUCACUGGCACAAUUUCAACUCACUGCAACCUCUGGCUCCCAGGUUCAAGCGAUUCUCCUACCUCAGCCUCCCGAGUAGCUGGAACUACAGGUUCCCACCACCACACCCAGAUUCCAAAUCCUGAAGAUUGAUAGUUUACAACAAAUUCUAACACCAAACAUUGUCAAGUGGAUCUAAGUUACAAAGAUAAAAAUAUCUCAAGUUAUUUUAAGAAAAAAUGAGCUGCCUACAAAGCUGUUAUAAGGACUAGAAGAAUAUACCCUGGCUUCUGCCCCUAGAAUAACUCCAAGGAUAACAUUACUGAACUUUGCUUACAAAGAAACUAACUUUUUUCAAGGCCAGGGAGUGGGAGUUUCAUCAAGACAUUAUCAAAGGUUGAGCUCCUGAAACAGGAAAGUGGUGCUGACAAGAUCAGAAGGUUACUAUCAGAACCAUCAGCUCUGGUUUGCUGCAAGAUCUGAACUGGCAAAAUGGAUCUCAGGAACUACUGUGUGUUCCCCCACUUAUCUCAUCUUAAAAACCAAAUAUGUGGGUAAAUCUGAAUUUUAGAACUAAAAUUAUAACCAGAAUCUUUGCUGCAAGUCAGGAACAUGGAGCUUGUAGUUUCCCACUGUCUAUGUUAAAGGAAGAUACGCCAGCAGGAUCUUGUACCAUAUUUUGAGUAAGCCUGUCUACUGAAUCUACCACAAUCAUCAGCAUUCUAAGAUUCAGCUGAGGACAAGACCCUGGCACUUAAUAGAAGAGAAGUGAUGAAAAUUGAAUGAUGAUGAGUACUAAUGAUGAAUUCUAAAAUCUGUAUUGAAGGCUUGGGAUUUCUGCACACUAGUAAUUUGUCCCCUCCUCUUUUUAAUGUAUUGCUUUGUUUUUAUAUGUAGUAUUAACAAUUUAGAUAAGGCAACUUCUAAAGUUUCUAACACGUAUUUUCACAUAUUCUAUCAUUUCAGAACAACUGCUGAAAAAAAGUGUUCUGGGAUUUAGAGGUUUUCUGUUCUUUGCAAUGGAUUUGUUUUAGCCCAUGGGGGAAGAUUAGAGAAUAUGUGUGUGCAUUAGUGAGAAAAUGUUAAAUGUAUUAAGAUUCAGUAAGAGUAGAAUAAACAUCAAACUUAUAAACUCAUACAAAUCUACAAGGAAAAAAA